RNAcentral lists this ribosomal RNA (445 nucleotides) under uncultured bacterium. Its description in RNAcentral is "partial 16S ribosomal RNA". It matches the Rfam family "Bacterial small subunit ribosomal RNA", at positions 354 to 796 of the family's 1533-position model. The record is from RNAcentral.
GUGAGGAAUAUUGGUCAAUGGGCGGGAGCCUGAACCAGCCAAGUCGCGUGAAGGAAGAAGGAUCUAUGGUUCGUAAACUUCUUUUGCAGGGGAAUAAAGUGCAGGACGUGUCCUGUUUUGUAUGUACCCUGAGAAUAAGGAUCGGCUAACUCCGUGCCAGCAGCCGCGGUAAUACGGAGGAUACGAGCGUUAUCCGGAGUUAUUGGGUUUAAAGGGUGCGUAGGUGGUUUGAUAAGUCAGCGGUAAAAGUUUGCGGCUUAACUGUAAAAAUGCCGUUGAAACUGUCGGACUUGAGUAUAAAUGAGGUAGGCGGAAUGCGUGGUGUAGCGGUGAAAUGCAUAGAUAUCACGCAGAACUCCGAUUGCGAAGGCAGCUUACUAAGCUACAACUGACACUGAAGCACGAAAGCGUGGGGAUCAAACAGGAUUAGAAACCCUAGUAGUCC